UUGGUUCAGCGGGAGGCGGCCAUUUGGGGAGGACAAAAGUCUCAGAUCGAGGAGGGGAAUGGGGGGAAACGCCCAAGAAUCCGAGCUUUUCUUGCGGGGAGGGGGGCGGAGGAGAGAGGGAUUAAAAAGGGGGGAAAGGGACAAGAGAGGCGCUGUUCCGCCUGGCCGCUGCCGCUGCCACUGCCACUCUCCGGUCGCCUUGCUUCGCUCUACGGAAUUUUUCGGCUGGGGUUUUGGUUGGGGGGAGGGGGAGAGGAGGAUGUGACGGUGACGACUGACGAGAGAGAGA
This 289-nucleotide long non-coding RNA is filed under the name Hordeum vulgare. RNAcentral describes it as "long non-coding RNA (HVUL_LNC016668)". The record is from RNAcentral. Lineage: Eukaryota; Viridiplantae; Streptophyta; Magnoliopsida; Poales; Poaceae.